ACGCUAGCGGCAGGCGUUAACGACACUGCGAAGUCGCGGGGCGAGCGGGGUAGCGAUACCGCCGGCGACCGGCGGAAGGGUGCGUAACGCGUGAGCAACAUGCCCGUAGUCAGGGGGAUAACCGAUGGAAACGUCGCCUAAUACCCCAUAACAACAGUCAUCGCAUGUUGACUGUUUGAAAGUUACGGCGGAUACGGAUUGGCUCGCGUGACAUUAGCUAGUUGGCGGGUAACGGCCCACCAAGGCGACGAUGUCUAGGGGUUCUGAGAGGAAGGUCCCCCACACUGGAACUGAGACACGGUCCAGACUCCUACGGGAGGCAGCAGUGAGGAAUAUUGGUCAAUGGGCGCAAGCCUGAACCAGCCAUGCCGCGUGCAGGAAUGAGGCCCUAUGGGUCGUAAACUGCUUUUGCUGCGGAGCAAUAAGCGUUACGUGUAACGCGAUGAGAGUACGCAGCGAAUAAGCAUCGGCUAACUCCGUGCC
RNAcentral lists this ribosomal RNA (483 nucleotides) under uncultured bacterium. RNAcentral's name for it is "bacterial SSU rRNA". It matches the Rfam family "Bacterial small subunit ribosomal RNA", at positions 33 to 509 of the family's 1533-position model. The record is from RNAcentral.